ACAGGAAAAUUAAAUACAUAAUUAGUACUGAAACAAUGCCAAUAUAAAAAAAAAAGUAUUCUUCGUCCAAGUUGAACUACAACUCGGAGGCCAAAGAAGAGGCAAGAACGAGGCCAAGGAGGAGAGCGGAGACCAAUCAUUUUGUCUCUGUAGCAGUGGGUGAAGGAAGAAGAUCUGUUCCUGCAAAGAUGCCAACAGAUCAUGCUUUGUUUUAUGCCAGUGACAUUUUGAGGCAGAACAGAUCAGCAAUAAAUAAUGUGAAAUUGGAUGUCCAUGGUAGACUCAUGAAAGCUUAUAAGCAAGUACCCGAAUGGUGGUCCAUGGUAGACUCAUGAAAGCUUAGAAGCAAGCAUCUUGGCAUUGUUUGUCGGCACUUUUGCAGGAGGAAGUCUUCGUCCUACAGCCACCGCUACAGGGACAAAAUGGUCGGUCUUCUCCUUAGCCUCCUCCUUGGCCUCCUCCUUGACUUCUUCAUUGGCAUCAACAGCAAGGCUUUUUUUUUUUUUCUCUCUUAGGGGUCGUGUCUCUAUUUUUGGUAAUGUGUCUUUGGUGUCUCAGUUGAAUGAGGUCAGAUGGAUUAGGGGUGGGGAGCAGUAGUUGGGAAUAGAGUUCUUACCUUGCGAAGGAACUGACAAAGUGUGUGAGAAAAGCUCGGAUUGGUCGUAAUUUUACUUAUAUACAUGCAUGUUGACUGAGUUGGGGAUGAGACUUCCUUUUACGGAUAUUUAAUGUGGGGUGUUGUUUCAAUUGAAUUGUGCUCCUAGCGUCGUGUGAGUUGCCGUCUGUUUCAAGUUUGUUGGAGCUUGAAGGUGAUAGUGAGGCGAUUGAGGAUUAUUUAGGUGAGAACGCUCCGACGCUGACUACUGCGAAUUUGAAAGCUUUUGUGAAUAAACAAAUGAAAAGUGAGAAAGAGGCGUCUUGGACGAACAUGGAGGGUGCUCAAUCUGUGGUUCACCGAGGUGCAGGGAAGAAGAGGAAAAUUGCUUAGCUUCAAUGACUAAGGUCGUUGAUUUGACUGUUGGAAAGGAUGGUGGUGGUGCUUUCUCGAUGGAGGAGUUCAGUUUAUAUAAUUCAUUCUUUGUUAAUUUAAUGUAGCAAGCAAGCAAGUGCAUCUUGGUACUCUUAAAUGACUAACACUUUUAGUUGUAUUAUAGUAGUGAAUAGUAGGGAUGAUAAUAAUAUACUCACCCAUGUGCAAUGGGAUUUCUAUAAAUCUACUGAUAUCAUCAUCAUAUUUUUGCAAAAGCUCAGUGCUACCAACUUAGCCAUCCAUAUGCUGUACAUAUUGAUAUGGUGAUUGUGAUUGGUUGGUGUGUUAGUUGUAGGGACCUUGCAUG
This is a long non-coding RNA of Arachis stenosperma, 1337 nucleotides long. RefSeq lists it as uncharacterized. Lineage: Eukaryota; Viridiplantae; Streptophyta; Magnoliopsida; Fabales; Fabaceae. The record is from RefSeq and is a predicted model, not a curated record. The transcript has 3 exons.